RNAcentral lists this ribosomal RNA (578 nucleotides) under Burkholderia sp. N2s_44. RNAcentral's name for it is "bacterial SSU rRNA". It matches the Rfam family "Bacterial small subunit ribosomal RNA", at positions 408 to 974 of the family's 1533-position model. The record is from RNAcentral. Lineage: Bacteria; Pseudomonadati; Pseudomonadota; Betaproteobacteria; Burkholderiales; Burkholderiaceae.
AAGAAGGCCUUCGGGUUGUAAAGCAUUUUUGUCCGGAAAGAAAACUUCUUCCCUAAUAUGGAUGGAGGAUGACGGUACCGUUAAGAAUAAGCACCGGCUAAUUACGUGCCAGCAGCCGCGGUAAUACGUAGGGUGCGAGCGUUAAUCGGAAUUACUGGGCGUAAAGCGUGCGCAGGCGGUCUGUUAAGACCGAUGUGAAAUCCCCGGGCUUAACCUGGGAACUGCAUUGGUGACUGGCAGGCUUUGAGUGUGGCAGAGGGGGGUAGAAUUCCACGUGUAGCAGUGAAAUGCGUAGAGAUGUGGAGGAAUACCGAUGGCGAAGGCAGCCCCCUGGGCCAACACUGACGCUCAUGCACGAAAGCGUGGGGAGCAAACAGGAUUAGAUACCCUGGUAGUCCACGCCCUAAACGAUGUCAACUAGUUGUUGGGGAUUCUUUUCCUUAGUAACGUAGCUAACGCGUGAAGUUGACCGCCUGGGGAGUACGGUCGCAAGAUUAUAACUCAAAGGAAUUGACGGGGACCCGCACAAGCGGUGGAUGAUGUGUGAUUAAUUCUGAUGCAACGCGAAAAAACCUUAC